UACGAAGGGGGCUAGCGUUGUUCGGAAUUACUGGGCGUAAAGGGCGCGUAGGCGGCGUGUCAAGUCAGGCGUGAAAGCCCCGGGCUCAACUCGGGAACUGCGCUUGAUACUGUCGAGCUAGAGUGUGGAAGGGGCGAUUGGAAUUCCGUGUGUAGCGGUGAAAUGCGUAGAUAUACGGAGGAACACCAGAGGCGAAGGCGGAUCGCUGGGCCAACACUGACGCUGAGACGCGAAAGCUAGGGUAGCAAACGGG
This 253-nucleotide ribosomal RNA is filed under the name uncultured bacterium. Its description in RNAcentral is "partial 16S ribosomal RNA". It matches the Rfam family "Bacterial small subunit ribosomal RNA", at positions 524 to 776 of the family's 1533-position model. The record is from RNAcentral.